This 61-nucleotide transfer RNA is filed under the name Ornithodoros brasiliensis. Its description in RNAcentral is "tRNA-Met". Lineage: Eukaryota; Metazoa; Arthropoda; Arachnida; Ixodida; Argasidae. The record is from RNAcentral.
UAUAAAGUAAGCUAAUUUAAGCUAUUGGGUUCAUACCCCAAACAUGAUUUUUCCUUUAUAA